RNAcentral lists this ribosomal RNA (497 nucleotides) under uncultured bacterium. RNAcentral's name for it is "partial 16S ribosomal RNA". It matches the Rfam family "Bacterial small subunit ribosomal RNA", at positions 28 to 507 of the family's 1533-position model. The record is from RNAcentral.
GAUGAACGCUGGCGGCGUGCUUAACACAUGCCAGUCGAGCGAAAAGACGAGGAGCUUGCUGUUUUGACGAUAGGCGCGGGCGGGGGAGUAACUCGUGGAGAAUCUACCUGAAAGAGGGGGAUAACUACGGGAAACGGGAGCUAAUACCGGAUAAUAUCUUGAACCGCAUGGGUGGAUGGUGAAAGACGGUUUUGGUGUCACUUCUCGAUGGGUCCAGGCCUGAUUAGCUAGUUGGUAAGGUCACGGGUUACCAAGGCUACGAUGCGUAGCCGACCUGAGAGGGUGAUCGGCCACACUGGAACUGAGACACGGUCCAGACUCCUACGGGAGGCAGCAGUAGGGAAUCUUCCGCAAUGGGCGAAAGCCUGACGCAGCAACGCCGCGUGAGUGAUGAAGGUCUUCGGGUCGUAAAGCUCUGUUAUUGGGGAAGAACAGAUGUGUAAGUAGCUAUGCACUUAUUGACGGUACCUGAUCAAGAAGCCACGGCUAACUACGUG